UACGAAGGGGGCUAGCGUUGUUCGGAAUUACUGGGCGUAAAGCGCACGUAGGCGGAUAUUUAAGUCAGGGGUGAAAUCCCAGAGCUCAACUCUGGAACUGCCUUUGAUACUGGGUAUCUUGAGUAUGGAAGAGGUAAGUGGAAUUGCGAGUGUAGAGGUGAAAUUCGUAGAUAUUCGCAGGAACACCAGUGGCGAAGGCGGCUUACUGGUCCAUAACUGACGCUGAGGUGCGAAAAGCGUGGGGAGCAAACAGG
RNAcentral lists this ribosomal RNA (254 nucleotides) under uncultured bacterium. RNAcentral's name for it is "partial 16S ribosomal RNA". It matches the Rfam family "Bacterial small subunit ribosomal RNA", at positions 524 to 776 of the family's 1533-position model. The record is from RNAcentral.